GUGGUGUUUGGUUUGUUACGGUUGGUUGGAUGACUGCUUGCGCAGCGACUUCCAGGCGUGCAUACCUCUUCAGUUGUGCGUCCAAGGUUUGUAUCGCCUUGGUCGUGUUGUUGGUUUCCUGUGUUGCGUACCUAAUCCAUGGAAUUGUUGGAUCGAUCGAUGGUUAUUAUUCGUCUUGUGUGGCUCCUGCGGCAUUAGAUGAACCUUGAAGCGGUCUCAGUGAUCCACGUUGUUGAAGCUCAUGCAUCGACGUUGUGGCUCAUUGGGCAUUGCUUGGACGCUUGGAUACGGAAGCUGUUGUGGGCAUGGGUGUCAUGACCCUUUGUUUGCCCUCGUUGAGCGUUCUCGCUUCUCUCAAACGACAGCCUGCUAGGAAAUUGGCUCGUUACCAGCCUGGUCGGCAACGUCGAAGAGGAAUGC
Molecule: unclassified non-coding RNA, 420 nt
Filed under: Calendula officinalis (pot marigold)
Lineage: Eukaryota; Viridiplantae; Streptophyta; Magnoliopsida; Asterales; Asteraceae
Description: partial external transcribed spacer
Source: RNAcentral